RNAcentral lists this ribosomal RNA (1578 nucleotides) under Salmonella enterica subsp. enterica serovar Brandenburg. RNAcentral describes it as "partial 23S ribosomal RNA". It matches the Rfam family "Bacterial large subunit ribosomal RNA", at positions 606 to 2167 of the family's 2925-position model. The record is from RNAcentral. Lineage: Bacteria; Pseudomonadati; Pseudomonadota; Gammaproteobacteria; Enterobacterales; Enterobacteriaceae.
UUUUGUAUAAUGGGUCAGCGACUUAUAUUCUGUAGCAAGGUUAACCGAAUAGGGGAGCCGGAGGGAAACCGAGUCUUAAUUGGGCGUUAAGUUGCAGGGUAUAGACCCGAAACCCGGUGAUCUAGCCAUGGGCAGGUUGAAGGUUGGGUAACACUAACUGGAGGACCGAACCGACUAAUGUUGAAAAAUUAGCGGAUGACCUGUGGCUGGGGGUGAAAGGCCAAUCAAACCGGGAGAUAGCUGGUUCUCCCCGAAAGCUAUUUAGGUAGCGCCUCGUGAAUUCAUCUCCGGGGGUAGAGCACUGUUUCGGCUAGGGGGCCAUCCCGGCUUACCAACCCGAUGCAAACUGCGAAUACCGGAGAAUGUUAUCACGGGAGACACACGGCGGGUGCUAACGUCCGUCGUGAAGAGGGAAACAACCCAGACCGCCAGCUAAGGUCCCAAAGUCAUGGUUAAGUGGGAAACGAUGUGGGAAGGCCCAGACAGCCAGGAUGUUGGCUUAGAAGCAGCCAUCAUUUAAAGAAAGCGUAAUAGCUCACUGGUCGAGUCGGCCUGCGCGGAAGAUGUAACGGGGCUAAACCAUGCACCGAAGCUGCGGCAGCGACGCUGAUGCGUUGUUGGGUAGGGGAGCGUUCUGUAAGCCUGCGAAGGUGGCCUGUGAGGGUUGCUGGAGGUAUCAGAAGUGCGAAUGCUGACAUAAGUAACGAUAAAGCGGGUGAAAAGCCCGCUCGCCGGAAGACCAAGGGUUCCUGUCCAACGUUAAUCGGGGCAGGGUGAGUCGACCCCUAAGGCGAGGCCGAAAGGCGUAGUCGAUGGGAAACGGGUUAAUAUUCCCGUACUUGGUGUUACUGCGAAGGGGGGACGGAGAAGGCUAUGUUGGCCGGGCGACGGUUGUCCCGGUUUAAGCGUGUAGGUGUGUGUUCCAGGUAAAUCCGGUUCACUUUAACACUGAGGCGUGAUGACGAGGCACUACGGUGCUGAAGCAACAAAUGCCCUGCUUCCAGGAAAAGCCUCUAAGCAUCAGGUAACAUCAAAUCGUACCCCAAACCGACACAGGUGGUCAGGUAGAGAAUACCAAGGCGCUUGAGAGAACUCGGGUGAAGGAACUAGGCAAAAUGGUGCCGUAACUUCGGGAGAAGGCACGCUGACACGUAGGUGAAGUGAUUUACUCAUGGAGCUGAAGUCAGUCGAAGAUACCAGCUGGCUGCAACUGUUUAUUAAAAACACAGCACUGUGCAAACACGAAAGUGGACGUAUACGGUGUGACGCCUGCCCGGUGCCGGAAGGUUAAUUGAUGGGGUCAGCGCAAGCGAAGCUCCUGAUCGAAGCCCCGGUAAACGGCGGCCGUAACUAUAACGGUCCUAAGGUAGCGAAAUUCCUUGUCGGGUAAGUUCCGACCUGCACGAAUGGCGUAAUGAUGGCCAGGCUGUCUCCACCCGAGACUCAGUGAAAUUGAACUCGCUGUGAAGAUGCAGUGUACCCGCGGCAAGACGGAAAGACCCCGUGAACCUUUACUAUAGCUUGACACUGAACAUUGAGCCUUGAUGUGUAGGAUAGGUGGGAGGCUUUGAAGUGUGG